CCUACGGGGGGCAGCAGUGGGGGAUAUUGCACAAUGGGGGAAACCCUGAUGCAGCGACGCCGCGUGAGUGAAGAAGUAUUUCGGUACGUAAAGCUCUAUCAGCAGGGAAGAAUAAUGACGGUACCUGACUAAGAAGCCCCGGCUAACUACGUGCCAGCAGCCGCGGUAAUACGUAGGGGGCAAGCGUUAUCCGGAUUUACUGGGUGUAAAGGGAGCGUAGACGGCAGCGCAAGUCUGGAGUGAAAUGCCGGGGCCCAACCCCGGAACUGCUCUGGAAACUGUGAGGCUGGAGUGCAGAGGAGGAA
This 305-nucleotide ribosomal RNA is filed under the name uncultured bacterium. Its description in RNAcentral is "bacterial SSU rRNA". It matches the Rfam family "Bacterial small subunit ribosomal RNA", at positions 338 to 659 of the family's 1533-position model. The record is from RNAcentral.